RNAcentral lists this long non-coding RNA (1426 nucleotides) under Strigops habroptila (Kakapo). RNAcentral describes it as "lncRNA (ENSSHBG00005017558.1)". Lineage: Eukaryota; Metazoa; Chordata; Aves; Psittaciformes; Psittacidae. The record is from RNAcentral.
AGACACAAUGGAAAGGUUGUUGGUUUUUUGUUGGUUUGGUUUGGUUUUGGGUGGGGUUUUUUUUGCCUGAAACAAAAGUACUUUGUCAAGAAAAAGAACAUGUUUUUGACACAUGCUAUUUUCAUCAUUUAAAAUGUUUCCACACUGAUCUCUGGUUGUUUCACCUUUACAACAAUCAGCUCAAACAUACCUUUGAUUCAGUUGCUAUGUCUGUUUUGUCAAAAGUCCUUAAGAUGAGAAAGUCAGAAAGUCACAUCCUUAUGGAAGCAUAAAGAUCAAUUAAACUAAGAGCUGCAAAGAUAUGGAGGCCAAAAGCCAAGUGCAACUCAUAAAAAUAAACUUCUGUAGUUAAGAGAACACUUUUUCUACUAUAAACAUUUACUUACUUAUGCAUAGCAUGCAUUUUCUCAAUUCAGGAUAUAAGAUUACCUGAGAGCAGUUUAGAACACUUUCCAGACAUAGAAAUUACUGCUUAAAAGUCCACCAGCACGAUUACCACAACUUCUCUGGUAAUUUUUACCACUAUCUUCAUACACAAUCUUGUUGUAUGAAACAUAUAUGAUCAGUAAGGUGCAUUGCAAUAAUAAAAUGACAGCAGUUCUUGUUAUUUAAGCUGACUUCUAGAGCAGGCUACUAUCAACAUCCUUCACAUUAUAACCUAUUCAGAUUUCUUAAAAGCUGAAAUGUUAUUACAUCAUGGUCCAAACAAAACCUUCCACUUGUCUUUCCACCUUAUCUCUUCAGGUCAAUGACAGGCAAACCCUGGGAAAAUUAUAGAAACAACCACAAGUAUUUAAAAUCUGUAUUGUCACUACAUGCUUCCACUCCUCUCAAAGCUUUAGAUAUUUUCCUUUCAAUUUUUUUCUUUCAUUACCCCAAGGCAUGCUAAUUAAUUGGAAUUUCCCAGGUCUUUUUUUGUUGUGACCAGAAAGAAAAGACAAAAAAAAAAAAAAAAAAAAAUCUCAUUCCGUCUUGGUAAAAUGAGUCCAUCUACCUUCCACAAAGACAGGGUAAUAAGAGGGAGGAUUAAGGCCACUUGAAUAGCUUAGGCCUAGUAAAGACAACUCCAGCUCCUGCCCUUAGCCGUCAUCCUUGCCAAAAUUGGUUUACGGAGAAUGACAUCUUAACCACAGCUAUUACUUUGUGAAGAAGAGGCUGCUGUGCUGGCAGGGUUUGGCAUCCAAAGUUGGCUACUGAGUAAGGUCUGAUGCAAAGACACAGGAAACCACACUGGCAUACCAACGCAGUGGUGUGUGUGCAUGUCUGCAAGGGCCGUCUGAAGGUCGGAAAGAAAAGUUCAUAGACAAAGGCGUAAAAAGGAAAAAUGUGUGCGUGCUGUGCUGAGCUGAAAUACCUUUGUUAAAGCACGGAAACCCACACAAAUGUCCUGAAGGAGACUGAAAUCUUUUUAAGAAGCUGGUCAUCC